GACGAACGCUGGCGGCGUGCCUAACACAUGCAAGUUGAGCGACGAACCAGGGCUUGCCCUGGGGCAAAGCAGCGAACGGGUGAGUAACACGUGGGUAACCUACCCCGAUAACCGGGACAACCCGAGGAAACUCGGGCUAAUACCGGAUGUGCUCACUGGACUUCGGUUCAGUGCGUAAAGGAAGCUUCGGCCUCCGUAUCGGGAGGGGCCCGCGGCCCAUUAGUUUGUUGGUGAGGUAACGGCUCACCAAGACCGCGAUGGGUAGCUGGUCUGAGAGGACGAUCAGCCACACUGGGACUGAGACACGGCCCAGACUCCUACGGGAGGCAGCAGUGGGGAAUCUUGCGCAAUGCGCGAAAGCGUGACGCAGCAACGCCGCGUGGGGGAAGAAGGCCUUCGGGUUGUAAACCCCUUUCAGGAGGGACGAAGGUUCGGCGGUGAAUAGCCGUCCGGACUGACGGUACCUCCACAAGGAGCCCCGGCUAACUACGUG
This 493-nucleotide ribosomal RNA is filed under the name uncultured bacterium. Its description in RNAcentral is "partial 16S ribosomal RNA". It matches the Rfam family "Bacterial small subunit ribosomal RNA", at positions 28 to 507 of the family's 1533-position model. The record is from RNAcentral.